Molecule: ribosomal RNA, 320 nt
Filed under: uncultured Filosa
Lineage: Eukaryota; Cercozoa
Description: bacterial SSU rRNA
Rfam family: Eukaryotic small subunit ribosomal RNA (bases 59-320)
Source: RNAcentral
GAUUUCUGGUUAAGUAACGCUAGAUCGCCCUUGCCAGGGGUGCGCUGGUUAUUUGUUGCAUCUUUCUUGAAAGCCAGCGUUUGUCAUUCACUUGGCGGACGUGACGCGAUAUAGAUCUGUUACUUUGAAAAAAUUAGAGUGUUAAAGCAGGCUUACGCUAUGAAUACAUUAGCAAGGAAUAAUAAUAUAGGACUUUGGUUCUAUUUUGUUGGUUUCUAGGACUGAAGUAAUGAUUGAUAGGGAUAGUUGGGGGUGCUAGUAUUUAGUGGCCAGAGGUGAAAUUCUUGGAUUCACUGAAGACUAACUACUGCGAAAUCAUU